AUUGAACGCUGGCGGCAGGCUUAACACAUGCAAGUCGAGCGGGGAAAGGUAGCUUGCUACCUGACCUAGCGGCGGACGGGUGAGUAAUGCUUAGGAAUCUGCCUAUUAGUGGGGGACAACAUCUCGAAAGGGAUGCUAAUACCGCAUACGUCCUACGGGAGAAAGCAGGGGACCUUCGGGCCUUGCGCUAAUAGAUGAGCCUAAGUCGGAUUAGCUAGUUGGUGGGGUAAAGGCCUACCAAGGCGACGAUCUGUAGCGGGUCUGAGAGGAUGAUCCGCCACACUGGGACUGAGACACGGCCCAGACUCCUACGGGAGGCAGCAGUGGGGAAUAUUGGACAAUGGGGGGAACCCUGAUCCGGCCAUGCCGCGUGUGUUAAGAAGGCCUUUUGGUUGUAAAGCACUUUAAGCGAGGAGGAGGCUACCGAGAUUAAUACUCUUGGAUAGUGGACGUUACUCGCAGAAUAAGCACCGGCUAACUCUGUG
RNAcentral lists this ribosomal RNA (485 nucleotides) under uncultured bacterium. Its description in RNAcentral is "partial 16S ribosomal RNA". It matches the Rfam family "Bacterial small subunit ribosomal RNA", at positions 30 to 507 of the family's 1533-position model. The record is from RNAcentral.